RNAcentral lists this transfer RNA (82 nucleotides) under Chloroflexota bacterium. Its description in RNAcentral is "Chloroflexi bacterium tRNA-Leu". It matches the Rfam family "tRNA". From Rfam's summary of the family: Transfer RNA (tRNA) molecules are approximately 80 nucleotides in length. The record is from RNAcentral. Lineage: Bacteria; Bacillati; Chloroflexota.
GGGGAAGUGCUGGAACUGGCAGACAGGCAUGACUUAGAAUCAUGUGUCGCAAGGCGUGUGGGUUCGACUCCCAUCUUCCCCA